GGGAGGAUUCGACCCCUUCCGUGCCGGAGCUAACGCGUUAAACGUGCCGCCUGGGAAGUACGGUCGCAAGAUUAAAACACAAAGAAAUUGACGGGGGCCCGCACAAGCGGUGGAGUAUGUGGCUUAAUUCGAUGCAACGCGAAGAACCUUACCUGGCCUUGACAUGCAUCUCUAAACCGGUGAAAGCCGGGGAGUGUAGCAAUACACAAUUUGCACAGGUGCUGCAUGGCUGUCGUCAGCUCGUGUCGUGAGAUGUUGGGUUAAGUCCCGCAACGAGCGAACCCCUGUGAUCUGUUGCCACCGGCGCAAGCCGAGCACUCUGAUCAGACUGCCCUGUGAAACGGGGAGGAAGGUGGGGACGACGUCAAGUCAGUAUGGCCCUUACGGCCAGGGCUGCACACGUACUACAAUGCCCAGGACAGAAAGAACCGAAACCGCGAGGUGGAGGAAAUCAUUAAACCUGGGCCCAGUUCGGAUUGAAGGCUGCAACUCGCCUUCAUGAAGUUGGAAUCGCUAGUAAUGCCGUAUCAGCUACGACGGCGUGAAUACGUUCCCGGGCCUUGUACACACCGCCCGUCACAUCAUGGAAGUCGUUUGUACCCGAAGUCGCUGCGCCAACCCGCAAGGGAGGC
RNAcentral lists this ribosomal RNA (632 nucleotides) under uncultured Verrucomicrobium sp. Its description in RNAcentral is "bacterial SSU rRNA". It matches the Rfam family "Bacterial small subunit ribosomal RNA", at positions 824 to 1450 of the family's 1533-position model. The record is from RNAcentral. Lineage: Bacteria; Pseudomonadati; Verrucomicrobiota; Verrucomicrobiia; Verrucomicrobiales; Verrucomicrobiaceae.